UUGGAGGGCAGUCUGGUGCCAGCAGCCGCGGUAAUUCCAGCUCCAUAGCGUAUAUUAAAGUUGUUGCAGUUAAAAAGCUCGUAGUUGAAUUUCGGGAUCAAUAUGUCGGUCGUGCCAUCGGUACGUACUGGUAUCAUUGGUCUCUCCUUUCUGACGAACCAUGAUGUCAUUAAUUUGGUGUUAUGGGGGGUUAGGACUGUUACUUUGAAAAAAUUAGAGUGUUUAAAGCAGGCAUUAGCUUGAAUACAUUAGCAUGGAAUAAUGAAAUAGGACGUUCGAACCUAUUUUGUUGGUUUCUAGGAUCAACGUAAUGAUUAAUAGGGAUAGUUGGGGGCAUUAGUAUUCAAUUGUCAGAGGUGAAAUUCUUGGAUUUAUUGAAGACUAACUACUGCGAAAGCAUUUGCCAAGGAUGUUUUCAUUAAUCAAGAACGAAAGUUAGGGGAUCGAAGACGAUCAGAUACCGUCGUAGUCUUAACCAUAAACUAUGCCGACUAGGGAUCGGAUGAUGUUAAUUUUUUAAUGACUCAUUCGGCGCCUUACGGGAAAC
Molecule: ribosomal RNA, 547 nt
Filed under: uncultured Glomeromycotina
Lineage: Eukaryota; Fungi; Glomeromycota
Description: SSU rRNA
Rfam family: Eukaryotic small subunit ribosomal RNA
Source: RNAcentral